RNAcentral lists this ribosomal RNA (482 nucleotides) under uncultured bacterium. RNAcentral's name for it is "bacterial SSU rRNA". It matches the Rfam family "Bacterial small subunit ribosomal RNA", at positions 28 to 507 of the family's 1533-position model. The record is from RNAcentral.
GAUGAACGCUAGCUACAGGCUUAACACAUGCAAGUCGAGGGGUAGCAGGGUAGCAAUACCGCUGACGACCGGCGCACGGGUGAGUAACACGUAUCCAACCUUCCCAUCACUCGGGGAUAGCCUUUCGAAAGAAAGAUUAAUACCCGAUAGUACUUUUUUGAGGCAUCUUAAGAAAGUUAAAGAUUUAUUGGUGAUGGAUGGGGAUGCGUUCCAUUAGAUUGUUGGUGAGGUAACGGCUCACCAAGUCUUCGAUGGAUAGGGGUUCUGAGAGGAAGGUCCCCCACAUUGGUACUGAGACAGGGACCAGACUCCUACGGGAGGCAGCAGUAAGGAAUAUUGGACAAUGGUGGCAACACUGAUCCAGCCAUGCCGCGUGAAGGAUGAAGGCCCUAUGGGUUGUAAACUUCUUUUGUACGGGAAAAAACCUUCUUACGUGUAAGAAGCUGAUUGUACUGUAAGAAUAAGGAUCGGCUAACUCCGUG